UUGUUGGCGGGGUAACGGCCCACCAAGACAUCGAUGGAUAGGGGUUCUGAGAGGAAGGUCCCCCACAUUGGAACUGAGACACGGUCCAAACUCCUACGGGAGGCAGUAGUGAGGAAUAUUGGUCAAUGGACGAGAGUCUGAACCAGCCAAGUAGCGUGAAGGAUGACUGCCCUAUGGGUUGUAAACUUCUUUUAUAUGGGAAUAAAGUGAGCCACGUGUGGCUUUUUGUAUGUACCAUACGAAUAAGGAUCGGCUAACUCCGUGCCAGCAGCCGCGGUAAUACGGAGGAUCCGAGCGUUAUCCGGAUUUAUUGGGUUUAAAGGGAGCGUAGGCGGACUAUUAAGUCAGCUGUGAAAGUUUGCGGCUCAACCGUAAAAUUGCAGUUGAUACUGGUCGUCUUGAGUGCAGUAGAGGUAGGCGGAAUUCGUGGUGUAGCGGUGAAAUGCUUAGAUAUCACGAAGAACUCCGAUUGCGAAGGCAGCUUACUGG
Molecule: ribosomal RNA, 489 nt
Filed under: uncultured bacterium
Lineage: Bacteria
Description: bacterial SSU rRNA
Rfam family: Bacterial small subunit ribosomal RNA
Source: RNAcentral